UUGCUGCAAGCACAUGACAUAUAUGGUAUUAUUAAAUCCUAAGAAUUCAUCAUAUUAUCCCCAUUUUCAGCUAAGGAAACAAUCUGGGCAAGAAGUGACUUCACCAAGGUCACGGAGUCUUAGAAAAUGACCAAGCCAGGAGCCAAACACACUUCCCUCUGAUUCCAACCAAUGCAGCCUGUGCAGCUGAUCCCUUGGCAAGACUGCCUCCCAAGGGGACCAGGGUAGAGCAAGCAGGUGGUGAUGGAGGAGGGUCCCACUGGCCUUUGAAAGCAGGAGAACCCUUGCUCAUGGGCUGGGCCAGGAGCUGUAGCAUCUGCCAUUCUGGGAAGUUGUGGAGGAUCCCUCCUCUGCCCUACUCCAUUCCCACCUGACAGGGAAGGAAGCUUUGAUGCUGUUUUCUCACCCACGGGGGAUUGGGCUGUGUAAAACAAACUCACAGCCUGCAGCAAAACAGAUCCUGGAACAGCCCAAACAGAAAGGCAGGGGCUGUUUGCUCUGGCCCAAAGCCCCUGCCUUCCUGCUCAUCUCAGACGUGUGUCUCCACCUUGGCGUUCUGUCUGGGCUUCCUGUCAGUCCGAGUCUCUCUAUCCUCACUGUGAAUCUUACAGUGCUGCAGUUGCCUUGGGUUAUUGUGAAGAUCAAAUGACACAUUCCCUUUGGAAACUGUUAAAGACUUUACAAAGCAGGCCAGCCAGGGGGUGUUCAUGGAGAUGGCAGAAGCACCCCAGCGACAGUCCCAAUGUGCACGCCCAUUUUAAACCUCUGCUCACAUCACAUCUGCAAAAAUACUGCUGGCGAUGGCAAGUCACAUGGCUGAGCUGAAGCAAGGUAUGGAGAAAUCCACCCUGCUCAAAGUUACCAGGUAAAGAAUGUGGAUGGAUAAACCUAUUUUCCAGGGUGGGGUGAAGAGAUGGAAGCAAAAUCUAGCAUUCCACAGAACUUAAACUGGAUUUAAUUUUGAUUUCAAGAGAGAAUGAAAUGCUGCGUUAUGUGUAGAGCAGUUCAUGCUAGUUAUAAAAUCUAUCUUCAGGGACCACAAAUUUUACCAUGAGAAUAUUUAAAUUUUUAGUUUUUAUUUUAGUGAAAAUCUUAAAAUAACUUUUAGCAAGAACAUAUUCUGGGUGGUCUAGAACAGCGGUCCCCAACUUUUUUGGCAUCAGGGACUGGUUUCGUGGAAGACAAUUUUUCCACAGACGGAGGGGAUGGU
This is a long non-coding RNA of Sapajus apella (tufted capuchin), 1210 nucleotides long. RefSeq lists it as uncharacterized. NCBI's taxonomy places the organism in Eukaryota, Metazoa, Chordata, Mammalia, Primates, Cebidae. The record is from RefSeq and is a predicted model, not a curated record. The transcript is spliced from 3 exons.